RNAcentral lists this ribosomal RNA (253 nucleotides) under uncultured bacterium. RNAcentral's name for it is "partial 16S ribosomal RNA". It matches the Rfam family "Bacterial small subunit ribosomal RNA", at positions 524 to 776 of the family's 1533-position model. The record is from RNAcentral.
UACAGAGGUGGCAAGCGUUGUUCGGAAUUACUGGGCGUAAAGGGCGCGUAGGCGGCUUUCUAAGUCAGAUGUGAAAUCCCCCGGCUUAACCUGGGAACUGCGUCUGAUACUGGAGGGCUCGAGUGCGGGAGAGGGAUGUGGAAUUCCAGGUGUAGCGGUGAAAUGCGUAGAUAUCUGGAGGAACACCGGUGGCGAAGGCGGCAUCCUGGACCGACACUGACGCUGAGGCGCGAAAGCUAGGGUAGCAAACAGG